Molecule: transfer RNA, 67 nt
Filed under: Histampica haimaensis
Lineage: Eukaryota; Metazoa; Echinodermata; Ophiuroidea; Amphilepidida; Ophiactidae
Also listed under: 1 other name
Description: Histampica sp. h LQ-2021 tRNA-Ser
Source: RNAcentral
GGGCAUAGAAGAUAACCCUUGGCCUUCUAAGCCUAAGGGAUUGCAGUUCAAUUCUGUAAUAUGCCCG